GUGGGGAAUCUUGCGCAAUGGGCGAAAGCCUGACGCAGCCAUGCCGCGUGAAUGAUGAAGGUCUUAGGAUUGUAAAAUUCUUUCACCGGGGACGAUAAUGACGGUACCCGGAGAAGAAGCCCCGGCUAACUUCGUGCCAGCAGCCGCGGUAAUACGAAGGGGGCUAGCGUUGCUCGGAAUUACUGGGCGUAAAGGGCGCGUAGGCGGACAGUUAAGUUGGGGGUGAAAGCCCGGGGCUCAACCUCGGAACUGCCUUCAAUACUGGCUGUCUUGAGUAUGAGAGAGGUGUGUGGAACUCCGAGUGUAGAGGUGAAAUUCGUAGAUAUUCGGAAGAACACCAGUGGCGAAGGCGACACACUGGCUCAUUACUGACGCUGAGGCGCGAAAGCGUGGGGAGCAAACAGGAUUAGAUACCCGGGUAGUCC
RNAcentral lists this ribosomal RNA (425 nucleotides) under uncultured bacterium. RNAcentral describes it as "partial 16S ribosomal RNA". It matches the Rfam family "Bacterial small subunit ribosomal RNA", at positions 354 to 796 of the family's 1533-position model. The record is from RNAcentral.